RNAcentral lists this ribosomal RNA (483 nucleotides) under Enterococcus gallinarum. RNAcentral describes it as "bacterial SSU rRNA". It matches the Rfam family "Bacterial small subunit ribosomal RNA", at positions 38 to 492 of the family's 1533-position model. The record is from RNAcentral. Lineage: Bacteria; Bacillati; Bacillota; Bacilli; Lactobacillales; Enterococcaceae.
AGGGGCGGGGGGCCUAAUAAUGCAGUCGAACGCUUUUUCUUUCACCGGAGCUUGCUCCACCGAAAGAAAAAGAGUGGCGAACGGGUGAGUAACACGUGGGUAACCUGCCCAUCAGAAGGGGAUAACACUUGGAAACAGGUGCUAAUACCGUAUAACACUAUUUUCCGCAUGGAAGAAAGUUGAAAGGCGCUUUUGCGUCACUGAUGGAUGGACCCGCGGUGCAUUAGCUAGUUGGUGAGGUAACGGCUCACCAAGGCCACGAUGCAUAGCCGACCUGAGAGGGUGAUCGGCCACACUGGGACUGAGACACGGCCCAGACUCCUACGGGAGGCAGCAGUAGGGAAUCUUCGGCAAUGGACGAAAGUCUGACCGAGCAACGCCGCGUGAGUGAAGAAGGUUUUCGGAUCGUAAAACUCUGUUGUUAGAGAAGAACAAGGAUGAGAGUAUAACGUUCAUCCCUUGACGGUAUCUAACCAGAAAGCC